This is a long non-coding RNA of Gallus gallus (chicken), 1253 nucleotides long. RefSeq lists it as uncharacterized. Lineage: Eukaryota; Metazoa; Chordata; Aves; Galliformes; Phasianidae. The record is from RefSeq and is a predicted model, not a curated record. The transcript is spliced from 2 exons.
AUCGGACUCCUCGUCGGCCGCGGGGAGCGAUGGCCGCGGGGACGGCCCGGCGGACGGCAGCGGAGUGCGGGCACACGGCGCACCGCGGCGCGGGGGGCGUCACGGAGCGGCUCCCGCUGGAAGCUGCGCUAUGAACGGCGCGUGGAAUCACAGACCGCGGCGUGGCCUGGGGAGAAAAGUGACACCAGCAGUGGAUGGAGUGCACCCUCAGCAGUGUGUGGGGGCUGCGGGCUGUGCGGUGCAAUGGACACAGCGGAGGGAUGGAGCGCCAUCGGAGGGAGCUGAGCAGCCCAGCAGUGCGCCCAGGAGAACCCCGGGGGGUUCAGCGAAGCCACACUGCAGCCACACACACUGCGCGCUGCCCCAUCGCAGCACACAGCCCCGGUCCGGAUGGGCUCUGAGCACGGAUGGGGCUGUGGGUACCUCAGUGCCCUGCGGGGUGUGGGACCACACGGCCGUGAAGGGCCCCUUCCAACCCAAACCAUUCCACCACCACCUUUACCACCCCAACCCUCCCCAAAGCGCGACCCGACCCGGCGCAGCGCCGCAGCACACACGGACUCCAAAGGCAGCCCCAAGUUUGUACAAAAACGUUUGUUUUAUUUCACAAAAUCGGGUGGCUGUGUGGCUGCAGGAAUAAAACCGGCCCUAUACAGAGGAUCAGAUGAAAAAAGUCAGCAGGUGGAUUAUUUAUACAGAAACACAACAGUGUCGAGUCGGGGUGCUCUGCGGGACCGUCGCUCGUACAGUAAAAAAUAGUCUCCAUCUGGAUCCUUGAGGCUGAAGCUGAUCACGCUAAAAACAACCUGAGGUUAUUCUAAACCGGACCGCGGGCCGAACCAGAAUCCCCGGCUCAGCCCGGUGCCCCCGCAGGGGAAGGGCCCAUGGAAGGAGGUCCCGGGCUGCACGUGGGGGGCGGUGGGCCGCUGGCGCUGGCGGAGGGACGCAUCGCUCCUACGUGCGGGAAGCAACGCGGCUGCAGACGGUCGGGAAGGGCGACCAAUGGUGCUGAGCAGAGCGCUCCCCGGGGCGGCUCCGUGGCUGUAAGCGCGGGGCUGGGGGGGCUCUGUGGGUUUGGGGCCGCGGCCGACCCGCAGCGGCAUCUCCGCCACCGCCCUUCGGCCAACGGCGCCGUGGGGAGGGCAGCGUGGAGGGGAUGCGCCCACAGCCCGACCCAACCCCCUGCCCAACCCCCCCCCACUGCUUCCUAUCUACUGUGUUUUUUUGUUCGUUUUAAACAUUAAAAAGCCUAU